GUACACUCCUGCGGGAGGCAGCAGUGGGGAAUUUUGGACAAUGGGCGAAAGCCUGAUCCAGCAAUGCCGCGUGAGUGAAGAAGGCCUUCGGGUUGUACAGCUCUUUUGUCAGGGAAGAAACGGUGAAAGCUAAUAUCUUUUGCUAAUGACGGUACCUGAAGAAUAAGCACCGGCUAACUACGUGCCAGCAGCCGCGGUAAUACGUAGGGUGCAAGCGUUAAUCGGAAUUACUGGGCGUAAAGCGUGCGCAGGCGGUUUUGUAAGUCUGAUGUGAAAUCCCCGGGCUCAACCUGGGAAUUGCAUUGGAGACUGCAAGGCUAGAAUCUGGCAGAGGGGGGUAGAAUUCCACGUGUAGCAGUGAAAUGCGUAGAUAUGUGGAGGAACACCGAUGGCGAAGGCAGCCCCCUGGGUCAAGAUUGACGCUCAUGCACGAAAGCGUGGGGAGCAAACAGGAUUAGAUACCCGGGUAGUCCCA
This 475-nucleotide ribosomal RNA is filed under the name uncultured organism. RNAcentral's name for it is "partial 16S ribosomal RNA". It matches the Rfam family "Bacterial small subunit ribosomal RNA", at positions 331 to 797 of the family's 1533-position model. The record is from RNAcentral.